GGCCCAGAUAACAGAAGGGAACAGACUGCUCUCUGCUGGAUCAAGGGAAAACUGUGACAUGCUGCACCCUUCAUCAGCAUCUGAGAGCGCCCUGGACAGUGCCUGCUGUGUCAGCACCACAGCCCCAGCCAUCAUCAUUAGAUGCAGCCAGCCAUGACACCACUGACUGCCAGCAGCACCAGCUCAUUCCCAGACUGGAUGCCCACCUGCCAUGCCCCACCACCUGGUGACACCACCUACAGCUGCACAUCAUCGCCAACCACUGUGACUGUGUGGAGCCACCAGUCAUGCCAGCCCCAUCCAUGUGAGCCUGUAGCUGCACAUGGUAGAGAGGCCACUCUUGGCAGCUGGGAUGCAGCCUUGGAGUCACUGCUGCCCACAGCCAGGGCCCCAAAGAUGCUCUAGCUCCAGCAAAGGAAGACCCUGGACAGGACCCUCCUCCUGGACUUCAUGUUUAUGGCAUCAGAGGACCAUCUGGCAGACACUUGGGCCCAGCAGGUAGAGAUGUGACUUUCCAGGACAGGUGGUGAAUGGAGGAAGUCACCUGUGAGGAGGCAUGGGACCAGCGUGAGGAGACAUGGGAUCAGCACAAGGAGGCAUGGGACUGGGUGGACAGAGUUCUGGGCAUAGCUCCUGAUCCUGAAGCAUGAGCUGGUGGAGGUGCUGUGGGAGCAGAAUGCCAUCCUGGCCGAGGCAGUGCAGGGCAUGGAUGACAACUGCUGGGUCCUGGACACCAAUUUGGCCCUGGCAUUCACCUUCAUGCUAUCCCCUGGCAGCCACCCACCACCCAGUAGCAUGCCCCUACUUGGGCCUUGGAGGAGGUCCUACAAUGCCACCAGGAGUCCCUGCCCUGGGUCCAGUGCCAACCAGCCCUUCUGCUUUUCCUGGUUUCAUGUGGGCAUGGAGCUGGAACUGCCUGCAGUAGGACCAGGACCCACACGUUGGCCCUGCUGGCCCUGGAUACUGGCUGCUGGAGGGGGAGCAACCCACACCAGAGGACCACCAUUCACCAUUGCCCCUGGGAAAGCCCCCCACUCACUGCACUCACCAUGUUGUGUGAACCCAUGAGGGAGCAGCCAGAGAGCAGUUUGCUAGAUCACGGUCCCUAGGUUCUGCCCCCUAGGUAUGGCAUCACCCUGGAAUGGCAUACAAUGCACUUUGUACAUAGUUUUCACACUGAAGAA
Molecule: long non-coding RNA, 1184 nt
Organism: Alligator sinensis (Chinese alligator)
Lineage: Eukaryota; Metazoa; Chordata; Crocodylia; Alligatoridae
Exons: 3
Source: RefSeq, a predicted model, not a curated record